UGGGGAAUUUUGGACAAUGGGCGAAAGCCUGAUCCAGCAAUGCCGCGUGUGUGAAGAAGGCCUUCGGGUUGUAAAGCACUUUUUGUCCGGAAAGAAAUCCUUGGCUCUAAUACAGUCGGGGGAUGACGGUACCGGAAGAAUAAGCACCGGCUAACUACGUGCCAGCAGCCGCGGUAAUACGUAGGGUGCAAGCGUUAAUCGGAAUUACUGGGCGUAAAGCGUGCGCAGGCGGUUUGCUAAGACCGAUGUGAAAUCCCCGGGCUCAACCUGGGAACUGCAUUGGUGACUGGCAGGCUAGAGUAUGGCAGAGGGGGGUAGAAUUCCACGUGUAGCAGUGAAAUGCGUAGAGAUGUGGAGGAAUACCGAUGGCGAAGGCAGCCCCCUGGGCCAAUACUGACGCUCAUGCACGAAAGCGUGGGGAGCAAACAGGAUUAG
Molecule: ribosomal RNA, 435 nt
Filed under: uncultured bacterium
Lineage: Bacteria
Description: partial 16S ribosomal RNA
Rfam family: Bacterial small subunit ribosomal RNA
Source: RNAcentral